This is a long non-coding RNA of Papaver somniferum (opium poppy), 4238 nucleotides long. RefSeq lists it as uncharacterized. NCBI's taxonomy places the organism in Eukaryota, Viridiplantae, Streptophyta, Magnoliopsida, Ranunculales, Papaveraceae. The transcript has 8 exons. The record is from RefSeq and is a predicted model, not a curated record.
AAGCUGAUUUAGAGACAGAGAUGAGAGAUACAGACGGAUCGAGAGAGAAUAUGUCGAUCGAGAUAGAGAAUGAGAGAAUAGUCGCAAUUUGAUUUUAGGAUUUUCCUCAGUCCGAUCUAAAUCAAUUAAGAGACAUUAUGUUCCAGAUUCAGUUAAACAAUCUUAACAAUUGAAUUACCAAAGUUGCUCCAGGUGAUUUUGAUUCGCCUUGUACUCGUGUUUAAGGUAGUAUUGGAAAGUUACAAUUACUUGAAGCUGGGAAGAAGAAGAUGAGACAAAAGCAUGAAAGAAAAGAGAAGAAAGUUGAGGCAAUAUGCAAACUGUUUAGCCAUUGAACACUAAUAUGUUAGCCCAAGAUACCAGCAAGGUACUGAUAAGCUCUAUAAAGGUUCAAUUUCUGAAAACUUAGCCAUGAUGGACAAAUGAAAUGACAGAGUAGUACUAACACGCAAGGUGAUGAUGAAACCGCUGUAACUUUCCUAGUUACGAGGGUACAUUGAUCUAUGUUUUUGAGAAGACUAUUAGAGAAAACAAGCUGGUAAUGGAUCCCAAAUGAUCAAGCUAGAAGAAAACCCCCACGCUGCUAUUGCCUUGAUUAAUUAUCGACGGGAAGACUUUUGGCUAUGGUUUGGAGGAUAUGAAGCAUCAAUUCUUGAGUUUAGCAGUUGAUUAUUCAUCUUUCAUAUAUUAUCGGGUCUCUGCAAAGCAAAAGGCAAUGGUAGCAAGGUUAGUGAAAGAAGGAACUGGGAAACUACUUUGGUGAUGAAGCAAAUGACGUUUGGAAAACUACUUCUCCAUUUCUUAGUUUCGGUUCUUGGAGAAACUUCUUGUUGUUCAUGGGCACUGGUGCUACAAGAGGAUUGCCCAGAUGGUAAGAAAUGAAUAUCUUUACAAAAAAAAAAAAAAAAAUCUUUAAUUUUCGUUCAUAUUUCUACAAGCAUCGUUAAAUGUUCAAUCUGUGUGGAAAAUCUUCACACACUCAAUCUGUGUGGAAAAUGAAUUUGGCGGGGAUAGUUUUUCUUUUAUGGUAGAAUCAGCAGAUUGUGAUGGUGUUAUAGAUGAUAAUUUGGCUGAAGAUAGCACAACUGCUUUUAUUGAAGAUAGAGCACAAGUUUCUCGCCCGAGGAGCACAAGUUAACCGAUACACUGUUAAGCUGAUAAAGCGGCUAAGUCAGAUGCAACUUUGAAGCUUUGGGUGAAGCAAUUGUGUGAAAUAAUUUAUGAAUCUUGGGGUGUCGUUGACGUAUGCUACCUCAAGAUUGUUAACCAUAAAAGGCUGUAAAAUGAAUUCAGAGCUCGUAUGCCCGAUUCGGAAGUGGAGUUUGAUUUUGAUAAAAAAAUUAGUAUUUCAUUCAAGAUAAUUGUGUUUCGAUUCAUUAAGUUAAGAUUCUAGAGUAUCAAUUUUCGAUUCAUUAAGUUUAGAUUCUAGAGUAUCAAUUUACGAUUCAUUAAGUUAUUGCCGAAGAUAUACACUCAUAGAUCAUUUUUAUCAAUUGUUUUUGUUUUUUUUUUUAAUUUAAACUUUUACCUGUGCAGAUACUAUACACUCAUUCUAAAAUUUGUUUUCUUAUUGUUUAUACUUUUACCUGUGCAGAAUGUGUGUAUUUAAGUGUAGCUAAUAUCCACAGAAGUUGGAAGAGCAACUGCAUUAUUGGCCUCUUUUUCAUGUGCGACAGUAUGGGUUGAGAAAGGGCAUGAGAUAAGCCUGGAGUACUGUGGGACUAAUGCACUGAAACGUGAUCUUGUCAGGUUAGGAAAAUUGACUCUAGUGAGACUGAUCAAGGAAAGAAUGAGUUCUCUUUCAAGUUAUUAUUUGAAUAAUUUUCACGACAGCAUUAGACAGGCAUGAUCCUAUUAUCUCUUCCAACCAAUUACGUAAAUAGAUAUACACAUUUAACUUCUUUCUAUACAACUAGGGAUGCAACAUGAAUCCUGAUGUACAAUUAGUAUGGAUAGGACUGCAAGUCUAUCUUUUUUUGGUGCUUGAACUUUUUAGGAAUUCUGUGUCUUGCAUGAUGCUAUGGAUUUAAUCAGUGGUUGCUAUACUGUCUUAAAGAAGAGUGAUGAAUUCCUGCACAUGAUGCUAAUAAAUUUGUCCAUAUGUUUAAGUUGUUAUGUGCAUGCAUACAUUUGACUUCCUUAUGUUGACAAUUGACUUUCAUAUGCUAAUAAUUUUUACAUGAUAUUGAGUGAUGAAUUCGUGCACAUGAUAUUGAGUGAUGCAUUCCUGCACAUGAUGCUAAUAAAUUUGUCCAUAUCUUUGUAAUUGGGAUAAAAUAUGUAUAUGUCAUGAGUUCCUUGAGUGAUAAAUUCCUGCAGAUGAUGCAAAUAAAUUUGUCCAUAUCUUUUGUGACUAGGAUAAAUAUGUGAUGAAUUCCUUAAGUGAUGAAUUCCUGCACAUGAUAUUGUGUGACGAAUUCCUGCACAUGGUAUUGUGUGACGAAUUCCUGCACAUGAUGCUAAUAAAUGAGAUUAACUCGUGAAGAUAGGAUGAAGAAACACGAUCCAUUGCUAAGAAACACGAUCCAAUGUUUAAGAUGUUAUGUGUAUGCAUACAUUUGACUUCCUUAUGUUGACAAUUGACUUUCAUAUGCUAAUAAUUUUUACAUGAUAUUAAGUGAUGAAUUCCCGCACAUGAUGAUAAUUUGUCCAUAUCUUUGUGACUGGGAUAAAUAUGUAUAUGUGAUGAGUUCCUUAAAUGAUGAAUUCCUGCACAUGAUGCUAAUAGUUUUGUCCAUAUCUUUGUGUGGGAUAAAUAUGUGAUGAAUUCCUUAAGUGAUGAAUUCCUGCACAUGAUAUUGUGUGACUAAUUCCUGCACAUGAUGCUAAUAAAUUUGUCCAUGUGUAUGCAUACAUUUGACUUCCUUAUGUUGACAAUUGGCUUUCAUAUUCUUUCCUAAAUAUAAGCAAGCAACACAAAAAAUAUAAUCAAAAAAUAAUACUGUGUAUAAUACCUGCACCCCAAAAAAAUAUGAAAAAUAAUAAGAUAAAUGAAGCACUGUGUAUAAUAAAUGGAUAAGCACUGUGUAUAAGAAUUUUGUGUCUUGCAUGAUGCUAUGGAUUUAAUCAGUGGUUGCUAUACUGUCCUAAAGAAGAGUCCUUCACCAUUCCAACUGAAUCGGUUUUGAAUCAUUUUUCGUUAGCGAUACAAGAUCCACUUUUGAUAUGCAUCCGUUUUCGGUAAAAAAAAGUUCAUAUUCUCCAAGCAUUAAAAAUAUGCGUCAGUUAUUCCAUAUCUGAUACCUGUUUCCAUACUCAAAGCUCUAUUGACAAUAUUUUUACUAGAUCUCCACUUUAGCCCACAAUGUUUCCAUUAUCAUUAAAUGAUAUUAUGUGCAGCCUUAUGCACCAAAUAAUUUGUGUGCAGGAUUUAUCCACGAUUGAAUUUGGGUGCAGGCUUCAUACACUGAAUAUUACGUGCAUGCUUUAUGUACCAAAGAAUUUGCAUGCAGGCUUUAUACACGGUCAAAUUAACUAGAGAUUAAAGGAGUGGGAGAAUGUUCUUGGUGAUGUUGGCCAACAGUUUCUAGGAAGAGUAAAUGUAGUUCGUGCAGCUGUAGAUAAGCACUGCAUCUACACCGGUUAUCCAUAUGCAAUCGUAAAGAGUGCUCCUUACCGUCACACUGUUAAGUUUUUUUCUUGUCGAGGUACAAUACACACUGUAUACGAUUACUUUGAUCCUGGUUUUACAACCGAGUGUUAUCGUGAUGUCUAUUCACAUUCAAUUUCUCUUAUUCCUGAUGUGAAGAAACUGAAUUAAGUUGAUGAAAGCACUAAGGUCUUUUGUUGUUAAAGGACUUGGGAGACAGAAAAAAUAGGUAUAUACCUCGUUAUGAGAAGCCCAAGGAAGAAACGGAUGUGUGAUAACUGCAGAAAGCUAACUUUUCACAACAAGAGAACCUGUCCAGAUCCUCUUGGUGAAGCCCAAGGAAGAAAUGGAUGUGUGAUAACUGCAGAAAGCUAACUUUUCACAACAAGAGAACCUGUCCAGAUCCUCCUGGUGAAGCUCCAAUCACAACUGGUCGAAAAAGAGGACAUGGACUACAUUUUUAUAUAGUUUUUUUUAUUUUUUCUGAGAUGUUAAAUUUAGCUUUUUGCACAUUUUUUUCAUGUUACUUUUCUGUUUACUUCGUAAGGAAUAAUCUUUCUUUUUUUUUUUAAAUUGCAUGGGUUUUUAUGUCAAGGUACUAUGUGAAGAAAUUAUUCAUAGAGCUUUUAUAUGGAGGGAUUAUGCACAA